This 650-nucleotide ribosomal RNA is filed under the name uncultured bacterium. RNAcentral describes it as "bacterial SSU rRNA". It matches the Rfam family "Bacterial small subunit ribosomal RNA", at positions 1 to 654 of the family's 1533-position model. The record is from RNAcentral.
CGAUUGAGUUUGAUCCUGGCUCAGGAUGAACGCUGGCGGCGUGCCUAACACAUGCAAGUCGAACGGGGUAUAUAAGCGGAAGUUUACGGAUGGAAGGUUAUAUACUUAGUGGCGGACGGGUGAGUAACGCGUGGGCAACCUGCCCCGUGCCGGGGGAUACCGCCUGGAAACAGGCGCUAAUACCGCAUAAGCGCAUACAGCCGCAUGGGUGUAUGCGGGAAGCUCCGGCGGCACGGGAUGGGCCCGCGCCCGAUUAGCCAGUUGGCGGGGUAACGGCCCACCAAAGCGACGAUCGGUAGCCGGCCUGAGAGGGCGGACGGCCACAUUGGGACUGAGACACGGCCCAAACUCCUACGGGAGGCAGCAGUGGGGAAUAUUGCACAAUGGGGGAAACCCUGAUGCAGCAACGCCGCGUGGGUGAAGGAGCGUUUCGGCGCGUAAAGCCCUGUCAGCGGGGAAGAAGAAAGACGGUACCCGACCAAGAAGCCCCGGCUAACUACGUGCCAGCAGCCGCGGUAAUACGUAGGGGGCGAGCGUUAUCCGGAAUUACUGGGUGUAAAGGGAGCGUAGACGGCGAGGUAAACCUGAAGUGGAAGCCCGCGGCCCAACCGCGGAACUGCUUUGGGAACUGUUUUGCUGGAGUUAUGGGA